CUGGGCUCCCACCCAGACCUCACCGCCUGGGGACUGAGACUUUGCUGAACCCUGUGCUGCGGGACGGAGCGCUGUGUGUCAUGGUGUCUCUGAGCCGCCUAAGAACAACUGUCUCCACAGAACAGGGAUGAAACCUCAAGUCCCCAGUGUGUACCUCUGCCAUGAGAAUUACCUCUGCCCCGUGUCCACACUGCACAGGCCUGAGGAACUGAGGAGCCAGCUGUAAUGAGACCCAGGGCUCCACAGGCCUGUGACAUUCAUCUCCUUCAUCUCAUCAGCUCAUAAAGUGCCAGAAGAGGAUACCAGAUCUCAUUAUAGAUGUUGUGGGC
Molecule: long non-coding RNA, 329 nt
Organism: Peromyscus leucopus (white-footed mouse)
Lineage: Eukaryota; Metazoa; Chordata; Mammalia; Rodentia; Cricetidae
Exons: 3
Source: RefSeq, a predicted model, not a curated record